This 714-nucleotide ribosomal RNA is filed under the name uncultured bacterium. RNAcentral's name for it is "bacterial SSU rRNA". It matches the Rfam family "Bacterial small subunit ribosomal RNA", at positions 8 to 750 of the family's 1533-position model. The record is from RNAcentral.
AGAGUUUGAUCCUGGCUCAGAAUGAACGCUAGAAAUAUGCAUAACAAAUGCAAGUUGAACGAAUAUAACUAAUUAUAUAAGUAGCGGACGGGUGCGUAAUAUGCAAGAAUUUGCCUUUUAAUUUAGGAUAACUAAGUAAUAUUAGCUAAUACUAAAUAUGUUGUAUUUAAAAACAAUAAAGAUUAUAUCGUUAAAAGAUAAGCUUGUAUAGGAUUAGGUUGUUGGUAAGCUAAGGGCUUACCAAGCCGAUGAUCCUUAGCUAGUUUGGGAGGACGAAUAGCCACACUGAAACUGAGACAAGGUUCAGACUUUUACGGAAGGCAGCAGUGUGGAAUAUUGGACAAUGAGCGAAGCUUGAUCCAGCAAUAUUUCGUGUGUGAUCAGAAGAAUAGGAGACUAUUUGUAAAGCACUAUCAGUAAAGACGAAAUUGACUGUAUUUACAGAAGAAGCUCCGGCAAAUUUCGUGCCAGCAGCCGCGGUAAUACGAAAGGAGCAGGUGUUAUUCAGAUUAACUGGGCGUAAAGGGAAGGGCACGUAGGUGGUGUGUUAUGUGUACUAUUAAAUUGUAAGGCAUAACUUUAUAACGUAGUACAGACAACUAAACUAGAGUUAAGUAGAGAGUAGUAGAAUUUCUANUGUANAGGUGAAAUUUGAUAAAAUUAGAGAGAAUACCAAUGGCGAAGGCAACUACUUGGGCUUCAACUGACACUGAG